GUGCCCGUAGCUCAGGUGGGUAGAGCGGCGGUUACCUAAACCGCGUGUCGGGGGUUCGAGUCCCUCCGGGCGCACCA
This 77-nucleotide transfer RNA is filed under the name Desulfotomaculum sp. RNAcentral describes it as "tRNA-Arg". It matches the Rfam family "tRNA". Rfam says of the family: Transfer RNA (tRNA) molecules are approximately 80 nucleotides in length. Their secondary structure includes four short double-helical elements and three loops (D, anti-codon, and T loops). The record is from RNAcentral. Lineage: Bacteria; Bacillati; Bacillota; Clostridia; Eubacteriales; Desulfotomaculaceae.